UAAUACGAAGGGGGCUAGCGUUGCUCGGAAUUACUGGGCGUAAAGGGCGCGUAGGCGGCUUGGCCAGUCAGGCGUGAAAUUCCUGGGCUUAACCUGGGGACUGCGCUUGAUACUGCCAGGCUUGAGGCCGAGAGAGGGUGGUGGAAUUCCCAGUGUAGAGGUGAAAUUCGUAGAUAUUGGGAAGAACACCGGUGGCGAAGGCGACCACCUGGCUCGGUACUGACGCUGAGGCGCGACAGCGUGGGGAGCAAACAGG
RNAcentral lists this ribosomal RNA (256 nucleotides) under uncultured bacterium. RNAcentral describes it as "partial 16S ribosomal RNA". It matches the Rfam family "Bacterial small subunit ribosomal RNA", at positions 521 to 776 of the family's 1533-position model. The record is from RNAcentral.